GAUGUCGAGUUGUUCCCAGGAGAAGAGAGGCUGGGGGAAAUUUCUGUCACAACGUCAAAGAGAAUGGACAAAAUUUGCAAAAUACCCAGCGUCACGUCACCGUUUGAACACCAUUCGAAUUCUAUGAAUAAAUCUGCGUCCGAAUUCUCGCCAGACAGGGCUUUGUAUGCGAUGGUUGUUACAUGAUAAAACCAAUUGAGAUAUACCAAUGACGAGGCCCAAGGAUUCCAGCUUUAUUCCCUCUAAUCCACCAUUUUUUGCGAUUCUGAUAGAACCAAUCCAUGAAGUUGAUUACUUCAAUCAUGAUGUCAAUGCAUUGUAUAUUCAAUAGAUCAAUGUCAGCAAAAUAUACAUACAAGAAAAUAGCAAAAAACACAUUAACAGUUCUGAUAAUAAACGACCGCUGUAAGAUCUACGAAUUCCAUCGAAUAUUUCACUUUUGAUAAGCUUCUUGCUGUCUGUUGUGAGAAAUGACGGAUGCACGGGAAUAGAGAGGAUUGUAUAUUAUUUGUGGUCCGUGGUCCAUCGUUAUGUUGGAGACAAAUCUCGUGGUGCCAGACUACGCAAUUAUUACAGAACAAUACAACCGUGUCUUUUCUAAGAACACACCGAUCCCCUGCCCUGGACCAUUCACAAGACAUCGAUGCGCUGGAAGUGUAGAAUCUAAUCUAAACCGUGCACAGAGUUGGAAUGUUGGAGUAAUGCAACUGAUAAUCCUUACCAUGGAAAACAACAUCUAUGGCCUCGUCGAUCUCUGAAGCAGAUGGGUACAUGUCACACUCCUUGAAGAAUGACUCCAACUCAAUCACCUCCAGCUCAG
Magallana angulata is the source of this 820-nucleotide long non-coding RNA. RefSeq lists it as uncharacterized. The transcript has 3 exons. The record is from RefSeq and is a predicted model, not a curated record. Lineage: Eukaryota; Metazoa; Mollusca; Bivalvia; Ostreida; Ostreidae.